Molecule: ribosomal RNA, 2371 nt
Filed under: Mesorhizobium sp.
Lineage: Bacteria; Pseudomonadati; Pseudomonadota; Alphaproteobacteria; Hyphomicrobiales; Phyllobacteriaceae
Description: partial 23S ribosomal RNA
Rfam family: Bacterial large subunit ribosomal RNA
Source: RNAcentral
GUGACUGCGUACCUUUUGUAUAAUGGGUCAGCGACUUAUAUUCUGUAGCAAGGUUAACCGUAUAGGGGAGCCGAAGGGAAACCGAGUCUUAACUGGGCGUUAAGUUGCAGGGUAUAGACCCGAAACCCGGUGAUCUAGCCAUGGGCAGGUUGAAGGUUGGGUAACACUAACUGGAGGACCGAACCGACUAAUGUUGAAAAAUUAGCGGAUGACUUGUGGCUGGGGGUGAAAGGCCAAUCAAACCGGGAGAUAGCUGGUUCUCCCCGAAAGCUAUUUAGGUAGCGCCUCGUGAACUCAUCUUCGGGGGUAGAGCACUGUUUCGGCUAGGGGGCCAUCCCGGCUUACCAACCCGAUGCAAACUACGAAUACCGAAGAAUGUUAUCACGGGAGACACACGGCGGGUGCUAACGUCCGUCGUGAAGAGGGAAACAACCCAGACCGCCAGCUAAGGUCCCAAAGUCAUGGUUAAGUGGGAAACGAUGUGGGAAGGCACAGACAGCCAGGAUGUUGGCUUAGAAGCAGCCAUCAUUUAAAGAAAGCGUAAUAGCUCACUGGUCGAGUCGGCCUGCGCGGAAGAUGUAACGGGGCUAAACCAUGCACCGAAGCUGCGGCAGCGACACUAUGUGUUGUUGGGUAGGGGAGCGUUCUGUAAGCCGUUGAAGGUGGCCUGUGAGGGUUGCUGGAGGUAUCAGAAGUGCGAAUGCUGACAUAAGUAACGAUAAUGCGGGUGAAAAGCCCGCACGCCGGAAGACCAAGGGUUCCUGUCCAACGUUAAUCGGGGCAGGGUGAGUCGACCCCUAAGGCGAGGCCGAAAGGCGUAGUCGAUGGGAAACAGGUUAAUAUUCCUGUACUUGGUGUUACUGCGAAGGGGGGACGGAGAAGGCUAUGUUAGCCGGGCGACGGUUGUCCCGGUUUAAGCAUGUAGGCGGAGGUUCCAGGUAAAUCCGGUACCUUUUAACGCUGAGGUGUGAUGACGAGGCACUACGGUGCUGAAGUAACAAAUGCCCUGCUUCCAGGAAAAGCCUCUAAGCAUCAGGUAACAUCAAAUCGUACCCCAAACCGACACAGGUGGUCAGGUAGAGAAUACCAAGGCGCUUGAGAGAACUCGGGUGAAGGAACUAGGCAAAAUGGUGCCGUAACUUCGGGAGAAGGCACGCUGAUAUGUAGGUGAAGCCCCUGCGGGUGGAGCUGAAAUCAGUCGAAGAUACCAGCUGGCUGCAACUGUUUAUUAAAAACACAGCACUGUGCAAACACGAAAGUGGACGUAUACGGUGUGACGCCUGCCCGGUGCCGGAAGGUUAAUUGAUGGGGUUAGCGGCAACGCGAAGCUCUUGAUCGAAGCCCCGGUAAACGGCGGCCGUAACUAUAACGGUCCUAAGGUAGCGAAAUUCCUUGUCGGGUAAGUUCCGACCUGCACGAAUGGCGUAAUGAUGGCCAGGCUGUCUCCACCCGAGACUCAGUGAAAUUGAACUCGCUGUGAAGAUGCAGUGUACCCGCGGCAAGACGGAAAGACCCCGUGAACCUUUACUAUAGCUUGACACUGAACACUGGUCCUUGAUGUGUAGGAUAGGUGGGAGGCUUUGAAGCGUGGACGCCAGUCUGCGUGGAGCCGACCUUGAAAUACCACCCUUUAAUGGCUGGUGUUCUAACGUAGACCCGUAAUCCGGGUUGCGGACAGUGUCUGGUGGGUAGUUUGACUGGGGCGGUCUCCUCCCAAAGAGUAACGGAGGAGCACGAAGGUUAGCUAAUCCUGGUCGGACAUCAGGAGGUUAGUGCAAUGGCAUAAGCUAGCUUGACUGCGAGAGUGACGGCUCGAGCAGGUGCGAAAGCAGGUCAUAGUGAUCCGGUGGUUCUGAAUGGAAGGGCCAUCGCUCAACGGAUAAAAGGUACUCCGGGGAUAACAGGCUGAUACCGCCCAAGAGUUCAUAUCGACGGCGGUGUUUGGCACCUCGAUGUCGGCUCAUCACAUCCUGGGGCUGAAGUAGGUCCCAAGGGUAUGGCUGUUCGCCAUUUAAAGUGGUACGCGAGCUGGGUUUAGAACGUCGUGAGACAGUUCGGUCCCUAUCUGCCGUGGGCGCUGGAGAAUUGAGGGGGGCUGCUCCUAGUACGAGAGGACCGGAGUGGACGCAUCACUGGUGUUCGGGUUGUCAUGCCAAUGGCACUGCCCGGUAGCUAAAUGCGGAAAAGAUAAGUGCUGAAAGCAUCUAAGCACGAAACUUGCCCCGAGAUGAGUUCUCCCUGACCCUUUAAGGGUCCUGAAGGAACGUUGAAGACUACGACGUUGAUAGGUCGGGUGUGUAAGCGCAGCGAUGCGUUGAGCUAACCGAUACUAAUGAACCGUGAGGCUUAACCUUACAACGCCGAAGCUGUU